AUUGAACGCUGGCGGCAUGCUUUACACAUGCAAGUCGAACGGUAACAGGCCGCUAGGUGCUGACGAGUGGCGAACGGGUGAGUAAUGCAUCGGAACGUGCCCAGUCGUGGGGGAUAACUACUCGAAAGAGUAGCUAAUACCGCAUACGAUCUAUGGAUGAAAGCGGGGGACCGUAAGGCCUCGCGCGAUUGGAGCGGCCGAUGUCAGAUUAGGUAGUUGGUGGGGUAAAGGCUCACCAAGCCAACGAUCUGUAGCUGGUCUGAGAGGACGACCAGCCACACUGGGACUGAGACACGGCCCAGACUCCUACGGGAGGCAGCAGUGGGGAAUUUUGGACAAUGGGCGCAAGCCUGAUCCAGCAAUGCCGCGUGCAGGAAGAAGGCCUUCGGGUUGUAAACUGCUUUUGUACGGAACGAAACGGCUCUGGUUAAUACCCGGGGCUAAUGACGGUACCGUAAGAAUAAGCACCGGCUAACUACGUG
Molecule: ribosomal RNA, 482 nt
Filed under: uncultured bacterium
Lineage: Bacteria
Description: partial 16S ribosomal RNA
Rfam family: Bacterial small subunit ribosomal RNA
Source: RNAcentral